CAGAAAACUGCCUUUGACAUUUGAUUUCUUUUCUAUAUUCUAGAAGUCUUCUGUGUGGCUUACUAGGCCAUUGAGCUUAAGCUUCUAUUAGCUCAGGAUUCUCCAGAGACAUAGAACCAAUAGGAUGUUUACCAGAGAGAGAUUUACUUUAAGGAAUUGGCUCAAGCAUUGAUGAGGGCUGGCAAAUCCAAAAUCUGCAGAGCAGGCCAACAGGCCAGAGACCCAGGAAGACUUGAUGUUGCAGCUUGAGUCCAAAGGCAGUCUGGAAGCAGAAUUCUCUUCCUCUGGGGACCUCAGUCUGUUUUCUCUUAAGUCCUUCAGCUGAUUAGAUGGGGUCCACUCACAUUAUGGAAGAUGAACCAGCUCUUACACACUCUUUAUGAGAGCAUAAAGACCAAAUAACUCAGCACAGAGAAGCGGAGAACAAUCGACAACACCUGGCAUUUGCUGAACUGGACUGGAAAAUCUCCUGAAGAGAUCCUAGGCGAGAAUUGGAAACUGACAAUGUGGAGGCCAGAGAUGCAUCCAUGGGCUGGGCCAUGAGACAAAUCAGAAUGAAAACACACUGCAUCGUCCUUCCAAUGACUAAGGUUUUUAUACUGGCCCAACCUUUGCAUACCUCACUCCUACCUCCCCACAAGGAGGCACCUCACCUGACCUCCUCCCUUUU
This is a long non-coding RNA of Equus caballus (horse), 670 nucleotides long. NCBI's taxonomy places the organism in Eukaryota, Metazoa, Chordata, Mammalia, Perissodactyla, Equidae. The record is from Ensembl.